This 575-nucleotide ribosomal RNA is filed under the name uncultured Verrucomicrobiales bacterium. RNAcentral's name for it is "bacterial SSU rRNA". It matches the Rfam family "Bacterial small subunit ribosomal RNA", at positions 9 to 578 of the family's 1533-position model. The record is from RNAcentral. Lineage: Bacteria; Pseudomonadati; Verrucomicrobiota; Verrucomicrobiia; Verrucomicrobiales.
GAGUUUGAUUCUGGCUCAGAACGAACGCUGGCGGCGUGGAUAAGACAUGCAAGUCGAACGAGAUCUCCGAAUAGCUUGCUAAUUGGAGUGAAAGUGGCGGACGGGUGCGUAACACGUGAGCAACCUGCCCUGAAGUGGGGGAUAGCCCUCCGAAAGGAGGAUUAAUACCGCAUGUGGUCUUCGGAUCAAAGGUGGCUUCGGCUGCCGCUUUGGGAUGGGCUCGCGGCCUAUCAGCUUGUUGGUGAGGUAACGGCUCACCAAGGCGACGACGGGUAGCUGGUCUGAGAGGACGAUCAGCCUCACUGGAACUGAGACACGGUCCAGACACCUACGGGUGGCAGCAGUCGAGAAUCAUUCACAAUGGGGGAAACCCUGAUGGUGCAACGCCGCGUGGAGGAUGACGGCCCUCGGGUUGUAAACUCCUGUCAUCUGGGAGUAAGCCUUGUUCGUUAAUAGCGUGCAAGGUUGAUAGUACCAGAAGAGGAAGGGACGGCUAACUUCGUGCCAGCAGCCGCGGUAAUACGAAGGUCCCAAGCGUUGUUCGGAAUCACUGGGCGUAAAGCGUGCGUAGGCGG